UGGGGAAUUUUGGACAAUGGGCGAAAGCCUGAUCCAGCAAUGCCGCGUGAGUGAAGAAGGCCUUCGGGUUGUAAAGCUCUUUUGUCAGGGAAGAAACGGUGAGAGCUAAUAUCUUUUGCUAAUGACGGUACCUGAAGAAUAAGCACCGGCUAACUACGUGCCGGCAGCCGCGGUAAUACGUAGGGUGCAAGCGUUAAUCGGAAUUACUGGGCGUAAAGCGUGCGCAGGCGGUUUUGUAAGUCUGAUGCGAAAUCCCCGGGCUCAACCUGGGAAUUGCAUUGGAGACUGCAAGGCUAGAAUCUGGCAGAGGGGGGUAGAAUUCCACGUGUAGCAGUGAAAUGCGUAGAUAUGUGGAGGAACACCGAUGGCGAAGGCAGCCCCCUGGUCAGAUUGAGCUCAU
RNAcentral lists this ribosomal RNA (400 nucleotides) under uncultured bacterium. Its description in RNAcentral is "bacterial SSU rRNA". It matches the Rfam family "Bacterial small subunit ribosomal RNA", at positions 355 to 750 of the family's 1533-position model. The record is from RNAcentral.